AUUGAACGCUGGCGGCAGGCCUAACACAUGCAAGUCGAACGAGUGGCGGACGGGUGAGUAAUGUCUGGGAAACUGCCUGAUGGAGGGGGAUAACUACUGGAAAAGGUAGCUAAUACCGCAUACCAUCAUAUUUGCCCAGCUGGGAUUGGCUUGUUGGUGGGGUAACGGCUCACCAGGGCGACGAUCCCUAGCUGGUCUGAGGGGAUGACCAGCAAAACGGGAACUGAGACACGGCCCAGCCUCCUACGGGAGGCAGCAGUGGGGAAUAUUGCACAAUGGGCACAAGCCUGAGGCAGCCAUGCCGCGUGUAUGAAGAAGGCCUUCGGGUUGUAAAGUACUUUCAGCGGGGAGGCGUUACCCGAAGAAGAAGCACCGGCUAACUCCGUGCCAGCAGCCGCGGUAAUUC
RNAcentral lists this ribosomal RNA (406 nucleotides) under uncultured bacterium. Its description in RNAcentral is "partial 16S ribosomal RNA". It matches the Rfam family "Bacterial small subunit ribosomal RNA", at positions 30 to 526 of the family's 1533-position model. The record is from RNAcentral.